Molecule: transfer RNA, 86 nt
Filed under: Entamoeba invadens IP1
Lineage: Eukaryota; Evosea; Mastigamoebida; Endamoebidae
Rfam family: tRNA
About the family: Transfer RNA (tRNA) molecules are approximately 80 nucleotides in length.
Source: Rfam by way of RNAcentral
GGGAGUUUAGUAUAAUAGUAGUACGUUUCAUUUUUCUAUCAACUGAAAAAGAAAAAAGGUAUCGGGUUCAAAUCCCAUAGCUCCCA